This 230-nucleotide ribosomal RNA is filed under the name uncultured bacterium. Its description in RNAcentral is "partial 16S ribosomal RNA". It matches the Rfam family "Bacterial small subunit ribosomal RNA", at positions 107 to 339 of the family's 1533-position model. The record is from RNAcentral.
UGAGUAACACGUAGGUAAUCUACCUUGAAGUCGGGGAUAGCUCACUGAAAAGUGGGGUAAUAUCUGAUGGUCCUAUUUCACUUCGGUGUUUAUAGGUAAAGUUCCGGCGCUUCAAGAGGAGCCUGCGUCCUAUCAGCUAGUUGGUAAGGUAAAAGCUUACCAAGGCUAAGACGGGUAGCUGGUGUGAGAGCAUGACCAGCCACAAUGGGACUGAGAACGGCCCAUACUCC